Molecule: ribosomal RNA, 467 nt
Filed under: uncultured bacterium
Lineage: Bacteria
Description: partial 16S ribosomal RNA
Rfam family: Bacterial small subunit ribosomal RNA
Source: RNAcentral
GACGAACGCUGGCGGCGUGCUUAACACAUGCAAGUCGAACGGAAAGGCCCUGCUCUUGUGGGGUGCUCGAGUGGCGAACGGGUGAGUAACACGUGAGUAACCUGCCCUUGACUUUGGGAUAACUUCAGGAAACUGGGGCUAAUACCGGAUAGGAGCUCCUGCUGCAUGGUGGGGGUUGGAAAGUUUCGGCGGUUGGGGAUGGACUCGCGGCUUAUCAGCUUGUUGGUGGGGUAGUGGCUUACCAAGGCUUUGACGGGUAGCCGGCCUGAGAGGGUGACCGGCCACAUUGGGACUGAGAUACGGCCCAGACUCCUACGGGAGGCAGCAGUGGGGAAUAUUGCACAAUGGGCGGAAGCCUGAUGCAGCAACGCCGCGUGCGGGAUGACGGCCUUCGGGUUGUAAACCGCUUUCGCCUGUGACGAAGCGUGAGUGACGGUAAUGGGGAAAGAAGCACCGGCUAACUACGU